CGGGUGCACUGAUCCGGCCGGGCCUUUCCCUCUGUGGAACCCCAUGGCCUUCACUGGCUGUGCGGGGGAAACAGGACUUUUACUGUGAAAAAAUUAGAGUGCUCCAGGCAGGCCUAUGCUCGAAUACAUUAGCAUGGAAUAAUAGAAUAGGACGCGUGGUUCUAUUUUGUUGGUUUCUAGGACCGCCGUAAUGAUUAAUAGGGGCAGUCGGGGGCAUCAGUAUUCAAUUGUCAGAGGUGAAAUUCUUGGAUCUAUUGAAGACUAACUACUGCGAAAGCAUUUGCCAAGGAUGUUUUCAUUGAUAAGGAACGAAAGUUAGGGGAUCGAAGACGAUCAGAUACCGUCGUAGUCUUAACUAUAAACUAUGCCGACUAGGGAUCGGACGAUGUUAUUUCUUGACGCGUUCGGCACCUUUCGAGAAAUCAAAGUGCUUGGGCUCCAGGGGGAGUAUGGUCGCAAGGCUGAAGCUUAAAGAAAUUGACGGAAGGGCACCACCAGGGGUGGAACCUGCGGCUUAAUUUGACUCAACACGGGGAAACUCACCAGGUCCAGACACAGUGAGGAUUGACAGAUUGAGAGCUCUUUCUUGAUUCUGUGGGUGGUAGUGCAUGGCCGUUCUUAGUUGGUGGAGUGAUUUGUCUGCUUAAUUGCGAUAACGAACGAGACCUUAACCUGCUAAAUAGCCCGUACUGCUCUGGCAGUUCGCCGGCUUCUUAGAGGGACUAUCGG
RNAcentral lists this ribosomal RNA (729 nucleotides) under uncultured eukaryote. Its description in RNAcentral is "SSU rRNA". It matches the Rfam family "Eukaryotic small subunit ribosomal RNA", at positions 670 to 1426 of the family's 1831-position model. The record is from RNAcentral.